UGGGGAAUAUUGCGCAAUGGGCGCAAGCCUGAUGCAGCCAUGCCGCGUGUAUGAAGAAGGCCUUCGGGUUGUAAAGUACUUUCAGCGAGGAGGAAGGCGUUGUGGUUAAUAACCGCAGCGAUUGACGUUACUCGCAGAAGAAGCACCGGCUAACUCCGUGCCAGCAGCCGCGGUAAUACGGAGGGUGCAAGCGUUAAUUGGAAUUACUGGGCGUAAAGCGCACGCAGGCGGUCUGUCAAGUCGGAUGUGAAAUCCCCGGGCUCAACCUGGGAACUGCAUCCGAAACUGGCAGGCUAGAGUCUUGUAGAGGGGGGUAGAAUUCCAGGUGUAGCGGUGAAAUGCGUAGAGAUCUGGAGGAAUACCGGUGGCGAAGGCGGCCCCCUGGACAAAGACUGACGCUCAGGUGCGAAAGCGUGGGGAGCAAACA
This 427-nucleotide ribosomal RNA is filed under the name uncultured bacterium. RNAcentral describes it as "partial 16S ribosomal RNA". It matches the Rfam family "Bacterial small subunit ribosomal RNA", at positions 355 to 774 of the family's 1533-position model. The record is from RNAcentral.